AGAGUUUGAUCAUGGCUCAGAUUGAACGCUGGCGGCAGGCCUAACACAUGCAAGUCGAGCGGUAGCACAGAGAGCUUGCUCUCGGGUGACGAGCGGCGGACGGGUGAGUAAUGUCUGGGAAACUGCCUGAUGGAGGGGGAUAACUACUGGAAACGGUAGCUAAUACCGCAUAAUGUCGCAAGACCAAAGUGGGGGACCUUCGGGCCUCAUGCCAUCAGAUGUGCCCAGAUGGGAUUAGCUAGUAGGUGGGGUAACGGCUCACCUAGGCGACGAUCCCUAGCUGGUCUGAGAGGAUGACCAGCCACACUGGAACUGAGACACGGUCCAGACUCCUACGGGAGGCAGCAGUGGGGAAUAUUGCACAAUGGGCGCAAGCCUGAUGCAGCCAUGCCGCGUGUGUGAAGAAGGCCUUCGGGUUGUAAAGCACUUUCAGCGGGGAGGAAGGCGAUAAGGUUAAUAACCUUGUCGAUUGACGUUACCCGCAGAAGAAGCACCGGCUAACUCCGUGCCAGCAGCCGCGGUAAUACGGAGGGUGCAAGCGUUAAUCGGAAUUACUGGGCGUAAAGCGCACGCAGGCGGUCUGUCAAGUCGGAUGUGAAAUCCCCGGGCUCAACCUGGGAACUGCAUUCGAAACUGGCAGGCUAGAGUCUUGUAGAGGGGGGUAGAAUUCCAGGUGUAGCGGUGAAAUGCGUAGAGAUCUGGAGGAAUACCGGUGGCGAAGGCGGCCCCCUGGACAAAGACUGACGCUCAGGUGCGAAAGCGUGGGGAGCAAACAGGAUUAGAUACCCUGGUAGUCCACGCCGUAAACGAUGUCGAUUUGGAGGUUGUGCCCUUGAGGCGUGGCUUCCGGAGCUAACGCGUUAAAUCGACCGCCUGGGGAGUACGGCCGCAAGGUUAAAACUCAAAUGAAUUGACGGGGGCCCGCACAAGCGGUGGAGCAUGUGGUUUAAUUCGAUGCAACGCGAAGAACCUUACCUGGUCUUGACAUCCACAGAACUUUCCAGAGAUGGAUUGGUGCCUUCGGGAACUGUGAGACAGGUGCUGCAUGGCUGUCGUCAGCUCGUGUUGUGAAAUGUUGGGUUAAGUCCCGCAACGAGCGCAACCCUUAUCCUUUGUUGCCAGCGGUCCGGCCGGGAACUCAAAGGAGACUGCCAGUGAUAAACUGGAGGAAGGUGGG
Molecule: ribosomal RNA, 1177 nt
Filed under: Klebsiella pneumoniae UCI 56
Lineage: Bacteria; Pseudomonadati; Pseudomonadota; Gammaproteobacteria; Enterobacterales; Enterobacteriaceae
Description: bacterial SSU rRNA
Rfam family: Bacterial small subunit ribosomal RNA
Source: RNAcentral